Molecule: ribosomal RNA, 497 nt
Filed under: uncultured bacterium
Lineage: Bacteria
Description: partial 16S ribosomal RNA
Rfam family: Bacterial small subunit ribosomal RNA
Source: RNAcentral
GAUGAACGCUGGCGGCGUGCCUAAUACAUGCAAGUCGAGCGAACAGAUGAGGAGCUUGCUCCUCUGACGUUAGCGGCGGACGGGUGAGUAACACGUGGAUAACCUACCUAUAAGACUGGGAUAACUUCGGGAAACCGGAGCUAAUACCGGAUAAUAUAUUGAACCGCAUGGUUCAAUAGUGAAAGACGGUUUUGCUGUCACUUGUAGAUGGAUCCGCGCCGCAUUAGCUAGUUGGUAAGGUAAAGGCUUACCAAGGCAACGAUGCGUAGCCGACCUGAGAGGGUGAUCGGCCACACUGGAACUGAGACACGGUCCAGACUCCUACGGGAGGCAGCAGUAGGGAAUCUUCCGCAAAGGGCGAAAGCCUGACGGAGCAACGCCGCGUGAGUGAUGAAGGUCUUCGGAUCGUAAAACUCUGUUAUUAGGGAAGAACAAAUGUGUAAGUAACUAUGCACGUCUUGACGGUACCUAAUCAGAAAGCCACGGCUAACUACGUG